This 613-nucleotide non-coding RNA is filed under the name Monodelphis domestica (gray short-tailed opossum). RNAcentral's name for it is "Eukaryotic large subunit ribosomal RNA". It matches the Rfam family "Eukaryotic large subunit ribosomal RNA", at positions 2514 to 2984 of the family's 3401-position model. Lineage: Eukaryota; Metazoa; Chordata; Mammalia; Didelphimorphia; Didelphidae. The record is from Rfam by way of RNAcentral.
UUUUAUGGCAUUGUAUUAUUCUAGGCUUCCUGUAAAAUAUUCCUAUUCUGAUUGCUCAUAUUUUUUUGACUUAGCAAGUAAGGAGAUGGGGUUGGGGGAUGGGGAUGAAGGGGUCUUCCUGAGGGACUCUUGUUUCUGGCACCAAAUGCCAGUGCCUGCAGCUUGCCAAGUGUAACCUGCUCAUGAGACAGCAUCAGCUGAAGAAUCUGAUUGGGGCAGUACACAUGUCAAAAUGUAACUUGAGUGUCCUAAGGCAAGCUCAGGGAAGAUAGAAACCUCUCUUACAGUAUACCAUGGCUAAAUCUUGAUUUUCCAUAUGAAUACAGCCUGGGAAAGUAGGACCUCAUGAUCCUUUUAACUUUUAGGAUUUUAAUAGGAAGCCUUAGAAAAGGUACCACUGAGAUAAAUGACUUGUGGUGACCAAGCAUUAAUAGCGAUUUUGCUUUUUGAUCCUUCCAUGUCACCUCUUCCUGUCAUCUCAAAGCAGAAUUUACCAAUUGUGGAUUCCCCCAUCAUACACACACACACACACACACACACACACACACACACACACACACACACACAAAUAGAUUGGAAUCCAAGUUGCAUUUAGACUAUUGUAAGACAGCUU